This 468-nucleotide ribosomal RNA is filed under the name uncultured bacterium. RNAcentral's name for it is "partial 16S ribosomal RNA". It matches the Rfam family "Bacterial small subunit ribosomal RNA", at positions 28 to 507 of the family's 1533-position model. The record is from RNAcentral.
GACGAACGCUGGCGGCGUGCUUAACACAUGCAAGUCGAACGGUGAAGCUCCAGCUUGCUGGAGUGGAGCAGUGGCGAGCGGGUGAGUAACACGUGAGCAACCUGCCCCUGACUCUGGAAUAAGCGCUGGAAACGGCGUCUAAUACUGGAUACGAGAAGGGUCCGCAUGGGCACUUUCUGGAAAGUUUUUCGGUUGGGGAUGGGCUCGCGGCCUAUCAGCUUGUUGGUGAGGUAAUGGCACGCCAAGGCGACGACGGGUAGCCGGCCUGAGAGGGCGACCGGCCACACUGGGACUGAGACACGGCCCAGACUCCUACGGGAGGCAGCAGUGGGGAAUAUUGCACAAUGGGCGAAAGCCUGAUGCAGCGACGCCGCGUGAGGGAUGACGGCCUUCGGGUUGUAAACCUCUUUCAGCAGGGAAGAAGCGAAAGUGACGGUACCUGCAGAAGAAGCACCGGCUAACUACGUG